This is a non-coding RNA of Pantoea stewartii subsp. stewartii DC283, 194 nucleotides long. NCBI's taxonomy places the organism in Bacteria, Pseudomonadati, Pseudomonadota, Gammaproteobacteria, Enterobacterales, Erwiniaceae. The record is from Rfam.
CAAGCCAGAAGAGGCGCGUCGACCAGGCAGUGUGUUGGAGGAACCGUAUCCAGAGAUAACACAUCAGGGGGAGCGACGCCGAGGUGGUCAACAUCACGGUGUGUUGACUGUCGGCUACAGGGGCUGAAUCCCCUGGGUUGUCACCAGAAACGUCCACAGUCGGACGUUUCGCAAGGUGGAGCGCUUCUGGGUGA